GUUGUGGCUCAGUGGUAGAGCACUUGCCUGGCAUGUGUGAGGCCCUGGGUUCAAUCCUCAGCACCACA
This 68-nucleotide transfer RNA is filed under the name Marmota monax (woodchuck). RNAcentral describes it as "tRNA.Ala". The stretch from base 3 to 63 matches the Rfam family "tRNA", at positions 6 to 65 of the family's 71-position model. Rfam says of the family: Transfer RNA (tRNA) molecules are approximately 80 nucleotides in length. Their secondary structure includes four short double-helical elements and three loops (D, anti-codon, and T loops). Lineage: Eukaryota; Metazoa; Chordata; Mammalia; Rodentia; Sciuridae. The record is from RNAcentral.